RNAcentral lists this ribosomal RNA (465 nucleotides) under Vreelandella stevensii. RNAcentral's name for it is "partial 16S ribosomal RNA". It matches the Rfam family "Bacterial small subunit ribosomal RNA", at positions 338 to 795 of the family's 1533-position model. Lineage: Bacteria; Pseudomonadati; Pseudomonadota; Gammaproteobacteria; Oceanospirillales; Halomonadaceae. The record is from RNAcentral.
CCUACGGGUGGCAGCAGUGGGGAAUAUUGGACAAUGGGCGAAAGCCUGAUCCAGCCAUGCCGCGUGUGUGAAGAAGGCCUUCGGGUUGUAAAGCACUUUCAGUGGGGAAGAAAGCCUUGGGGCUAAUACCCUCGAGGAAGGACAUCACCCACAGAAGAAGCACCGGCUAACUCCGUGCCAGCAGCCGCGGUAAUACGGAGGGUGCGAGCGUUAAUCGGAAUUACUGGGCGUAAAGCGCGCGUAGGCGGUCUGAUAAGCCGGUUGUGAAAGCCCCGGGCUCAACCUGGGAACGGCAUCCGGAACUGUCAGGCUAGAGUGCAGGAGAGGAAGGUAGAAUUCCCGGUGUAGCGGUAAAAUGCGUAGAGAUCGGGAGGAAUACCAGUGGCGAAGGCGGCCUUCUGGACUGACACUGACGCUGAGGUGCGAAAGCGUGGGUAGCAAACAGGAUUAGAUACCCGGGUAGUC